This 1176-nucleotide long non-coding RNA is filed under the name Capra hircus (goat). RNAcentral's name for it is "lncRNA (ENSCHIG00010032328.1)". Lineage: Eukaryota; Metazoa; Chordata; Mammalia; Artiodactyla; Bovidae. The record is from RNAcentral.
GUUGCAUCUCAUGGGAACUUUUUUGCAGCGCUUGGGGAUCUUCCUUGAGGCCCUGGGGGCUUCUUUCUAGUUGUGGCAAGGGGUUUAGUUGCCCAGUGGCAUUUGGCAUGUGGCAUCUUAGUUCCCCAACCAGGGAUUGAACUCAUGUCCCGUGCAUUGGAAAGCAGAUUCUUAACCACUGAACUACCAGAGAAGGCCUGAAUAGGGCUACUUUUAAUUAUGCACUUCCUCAAAACUAUGAAUCCAUACAUAGAAGACCAGAGAGAUACUCAAAAAUAUGUCACAGUUGUUGAUAACCUGGAAAAAGUUCCCACUGUCUAGAAGCUGAGGUUUGUUUGUCAUUUUACAUUUUAACAGAAGCUGGGAAGAAAUGUAUACUUUGACUUUUGUUCCUGAGUGAGACCAUCUCUCCCUACCCUCAGUCUUUAAGUGUUUUGCAGCAUUUGCUUCGACAGACUGUAAGCUGCCUUCUCUCAGACAAAGUAGGUUGAAUGGCCAGAACUACUUUGGCACUGCUGUUGACAAUUAUAAUUGGAACACCCAACUACAGCCCACUUGGAAGAGAACCUUACCCAGUGGAAGUGGCUCCAUCACUUCUGGAUCAGAGGCUCAUCUGUACAGAACUCAGACAGGACUUCUGAGGCAAUGGGCAGACACCAUCACUAAUAUAUGAAGCAGAAAGCAAGCUGCCAUCACCUAGCUCAGUAUAUGAACAAGACUUUUAUAGCCCUCUUCUUUUCCAUCUCAAUAACUCCCCACUGAAUGCCUUUAAACUCUUGGAAAUCCUGAAUUCCUUGUGUGUGUUCGUCACUCAGUUGUGUCUGACUCUUUGUGAACUCCAUGAACUGUAGCACUCCAGGUUCCUCUGUCAACGGAAUUUUCCAGGCAAGAAUACUAGAGUGGAUUGCCAUUCUCUUCUCCAGGAGACCUUCCCUACCCAGGGAUUGAACUUGGGUCUCCUUCAUUGGAGGCAGACUCUUUACCAUCUGACCCAUUCUUCCUCCUUCCAAAGCAUGUAAUUAUCUUGUCAUCAUAUAUGUCCCCUUCUCAGAUGUUCCCUUCCCAGUCUUGGUCAGUGUCUGGUUCAAAACUGUACCAGGGGUUCUUUGCCCUGGCUACACAUUAGAUUUAUCUGGUGUGGAGGGGCUUCUUGGACAUGUAGGUGCCCCACUGUUG